CCCUGCGAGCUCCCCAGCCCGCCCCCUGCUCCCAGGGGGCACAGCUCACUCCCAGGCUGUGCUCCCAGGCAGGGGUCCUGGGGGCAGCACGUCUGUCUCACUAGGGGGGUCCCUGCCCAAGCACAGCUGCAGGCCCGCCCAAGGGGUGAGACGUGGCCCUCCUUCCACAGACCCCUGGACGCAGACGGGCAGAGGGCACCGCAGCCUCCACGCAGGGCCCGGGGUGCCGAGGACACCAGCCCCUUCCGGCCCGACCCCCCUCUCGGAGACUGUUUCCCUCUCUGCCCCUCCCCUCUGCCUUUUGUCUUUUCUAUAACAAAGCAGCGGGCAGCCAGGGGCUUGGCCGCUCCUGCUUCUGAUGACCAGCCACGGGGCCCAGCCCCUUCUCAGUGCAGAGCACCCCAGCUCUAAGCAGCUCCUGCCGCCUCAGGCCCCACCAGCUCGAGGGCUGCCCUGAGCCCUGGGACUCGGGGUGCCCUGCUGAACUCCGGAGCAGCCCCGGGGCAUCCGGCCCCCUGUCCGUGACCACCGCCCUGGCUGACCCGAGACACCCGUGAGACCAGGGGGCAGUGAGCGGGCUCCCGACCCACAGGGCUGCCCCUUGACCCCCCGGGGGGGCGUUGUCCAGAGACCCAGGCGCCGAAAGUCCGGCCACAGCCCUGCAGGCCCGGCGCGCCGGCUCGCACUCUGGAUGCCUUUGCCUGACAGAGGGUUUUUCAGAACCUCAAGGCCUCCCAACCGUCACCUCUGUCACCUGUGUCACCUACAACGCAAACAGCGUUUUGGCUGCAAUCAGUGGGACGAUGUGAGCCCCGGGAAGGGAGGCUUCUUUAAAUUGUGCAAGUUCAAACCCAGCUUUCUGGAAAAUUCACUGCACUCCACAGGCGGGAGGCACGGGCUGGCCCACAGGUGAGGGGCUGUCUCUCGGGAGGGGCCGCCCUCGGCGCACACAGCUGUGGCCAGGGCUGCUGCAGGUCUGCGGGGCCCACGGAGCCCCUCCCUGCCCUUCCCAGCUUCCUCUGCCCCUCAGGGGUCCCUGCCCACCAGCCCAGAGGGUGCGGAAGGCUCUGGAGGGUAGUCAGCGAGGACUUCCUGCUGGAGUCGGCCUGGGGCAGGGGAGACCCGGCUGCACCCGCCCGUUCCUGGGGAAGGUGGGAGACAGCGGGAGCUGGUGGCUGGCAGCUGGUGGAGCCGGGGUUGAGGGCAGGUCAGGACAGCCCCAGUCCCGGUGAGGCCCAGGAAGGCGGGUUCACUGCCUUUGCUCCUUUGCUCAGGCCCGCCCUCUCCUCGCAGGGCCCACAGAGAGCAGCAGGCGGAAGGCCGGAGGUGCCCACAUCCGGGAGCCCAGGUUGGGGCCGAGCCCUGCAGGCUGUCCCUCCCCAAGGGCACCUGAGAGCGUGCACGCAGGCACCAUGCAGGGGCUGAGCCUGCGGAGUGUGAGGGGCCCAGGGAGGGCCACAGGAAGGGACUGGCUGAGGGCCUGGACCUCGGGGAGUCGGGUCCGGGCCCUGGCCCCUCUCCAGGCUGGGCCUGAGAGGGUCGGGGGACCUCAGGAGAGCCCUGGCAGAGUUCCUGAGCCUCCCCUCACUGGGGUGCUUCAGGUGGCUGCCUGUCCCCGCCGACGCCUGUGACGGAAGACCUGACCCCUUCCCCAGGCUCAGGACAUUUGAACCCGGCCCAGGGGCUGUGCCACCAGGUGGGGGUGGGAGGGCCCUCUCUGCCCCAAGCCCCACGAGCACCUGUGCGCAGCAGGUGGCAGAGGCCCCAGAAGGACCCACAGCUCUGGACGCUGGGGAGACCCUGACGGAAAACGGAGCUCAGGAUCCACAUUCUGGCGCAGUUCCCCUCCCCAGACCAGCUGCCCACCUGGCCAAGCCCCAGAAAGCUCGGUGCUUGUCAAACAGACCUGCGAGGGAACCCGGAUCUGGCCUGCGCCAAACCAUCUCGUGGAUAGACAGACACCAUGGAGGUCCCUGGAGAACCCGUGCUGGCCCGACGCACCUUGUGCAGCGUCCCUGCAUCUGAGGCCCCAGGCACUGGUCCGUCUCCCUCCGCAAUGGACUCAACCGACUGCGGGUCAGGAACAGCAUUUUCCAAUUCACACCCCGGAUUCACGACGGCAGGCCCACGACACCGCGCUGGCUGUGCGGCUGGUCACAUCGCAGACGCGAGACCCGCAGACGCACGGGGCCGGCUGUGUUCAUGGAGGAAAAUGUCUGUCGGUGGGUGGACUGCAGCUCAGACGACGGCGCCCGAGGGUCCGCGGUGCAGAGUCUCCUAACCGCGGGUUUUCGCUGGUGGUUCCUCGGGAAUGGCAUGUCGGAGGGACCUGCCACUUCUCAACGGCCUAACACCCCAUGAGGCAUAAACUUCGUCCCCAAAACUCCUAAGUGACGCCCUGAUGCAGUACCUCAUUCGUGAUAGAGCCUUGAAAAGGCAACCAGGUUCAAACGAGGCCGGCGAGCGGGGCCUCGCCCAGUCCGACUGUCCUCCUGGGAACAGGGGGGCUGCGCCCAGACUCCAGGGGAGAAGGCCUCGGGGAGGGGCCUCGGAGAGGCCGGCACUGCCCACACCCGGCUCUUGGGGUCUCAAACGUCCAGCCCCCAGGAGCCGGAGGAAAGAAAUUCCUGUUGUGCCGGUGACAGCCCCCGUGUCACCCUCUCUGGCCUUUCGCCUGCGAGCCCCUCAUGGAAACAAGGGACCCAGGGGUCUGCGUUCCAGAAGUUUCUGACUCCGGCCGAUGGGAGCGGCCCACCUUCCCCGAGGGCCCUGGCCCAUCAGAGCCUCUGCUGCUCCAUUCUGCCACCGAGGCACGUCCCCAGUGCCGCCUCCCCUCCAGGGGGGCCAGGUGCCACCAGGCCCCUGGCAGACACACAGCCUGCCGUCCAGGGCCCCCAGCUGCCCCUGGGGGUGGCCACCCUGGAGGUACGGAAGGGCAGCUCCGCCCGCUCCCCUGGCCCCACCCUGCACCCCCUCAGCCUGGGCCGUCCCCCGGGAGGCCCGCCUCCGGGCACCCACUCGGGGACCGUCCCUCCGUCUGUGACCGCUGCUUCCCGAGAAACAGGGACUCUGCCCACAGCAGCCCUCACCCACCGUACGCGCAGGUCCCUGUCUGCUCUUGACACAAAUGGACUCUAAGUCCUCGUCACCUGCGCCAACACAUUUUCUCAGUUCGGCGCUUUUUCUGCAGACUGGGCUCAUGGAAUCGUUUUCUACACGGAAGUUUUGACUUUGAGGCAGCAGAUGUGACUGCAAGGAAACAUGGAAUUCUAUAUAUACAUAUAAAAUAUAUGUGAUAUGUACAUAUGUGUAAAAUAUAAAAUUACUGUGCUUUUCUAGACUGUGCGAGGAGGAAAGUUUUUUAAACACCUUAUUAUUAGUGUUCUCAAAGAGGUAAGAAAAAAUAUUGUGACCCCAGACAAAGUCGAGAAAUAAAUAUUCAGAGAACGGAAGUGACUUGGAAAUGCCAGUGGCAGCU
Molecule: long non-coding RNA, 3478 nt
Organism: Artibeus jamaicensis (Jamaican fruit-eating bat)
Lineage: Eukaryota; Metazoa; Chordata; Mammalia; Chiroptera; Phyllostomidae
Exons: 3
Source: RefSeq, a predicted model, not a curated record